UACGAAGGGGGCUAGCGUUGUUCGGAAUCACUGGGCGUAAAGCGCGUGUAGGCGGAUAUGCAAGCAAGAGGUGAAAGCCCAGGGCUUAACCUUGGAACUGCCUUUUGAACUGUAUAUCUGGCGUUUUGGAGGGGAGUGUGGAAUUCCUAAUGUAGAGGUGAAAUUCGUAGAGAUUAGGAGGAACACCGGUGGCGAAGGCGGCACUCUGGACAAAUACUGACGCUGAGACGCGAAAGCGUGGGGAGCAAACAGG
Molecule: ribosomal RNA, 253 nt
Filed under: uncultured bacterium
Lineage: Bacteria
Description: partial 16S ribosomal RNA
Rfam family: Bacterial small subunit ribosomal RNA
Source: RNAcentral